AGAAGAGCCCCAGGUUGUACGGAGUCAGCAUCCUUGUCCUGGACACGGCACGUGUAGAGCUGCGUGCGUUCUGAGGAGCGAAUUCAGCAGUGCAGCAUCCUCUCCGAGCUCUAUGAGUUGAUCGGCUUCCACUGCAAGUCCGCCUUCUUCAGGCGGGUGGCCCCCGUGCAGCGCGCGGCCCCCGGCAUCCCAGAGCCUGGCGGGAAGACCUGCUACUGACUCCUCCUGCAGACGCUUCCUGGCUACAUUCUGUCACUGGACCUGCAGGACUUCAGCAAAGUGUAUGAAGAUUUUCCAUCAGACCGUUUGUUCAGCCCUUUCCUGAAUGAGGGAUUGAAUUUUCCACAGGAAAUCUUAUGAAAGAGAGUGACAAGGCACAUGGGUUUCCCAAAAAGCAAUAGUUGAUGUAAUAAACUCUCACAUUGGUGAACUUUUUGAAUACAAGCUGGUUGAAAAUUUUAUCACUAGGUCAUAUGCCACAAAUAUGUCUUAAGA
Non-coding RNA from Vicugna pacos (alpaca), 495 nucleotides. The record is from RefSeq and is a predicted model, not a curated record. Lineage: Eukaryota; Metazoa; Chordata; Mammalia; Artiodactyla; Camelidae.